GAUCUGUUUGCACAAGCCUCUGAGAGGGAUGAAGAUAUUGUUUUCUUUGAUCANAUUAUGCCGGUAAA
Molecule: unclassified non-coding RNA, 68 nt
Filed under: Bartonella clarridgeiae
Lineage: Bacteria; Pseudomonadati; Pseudomonadota; Alphaproteobacteria; Hyphomicrobiales; Bartonellaceae
Description: partial 16S-23S ribosomal RNA intergenic spacer
Source: RNAcentral